AUUUAUUUAAUAUAAAUAGUAUAUUUAACUUCCAAUUAAAAAGACUGAUAAUCAGAAUAAAUA
RNAcentral lists this transfer RNA (63 nucleotides) under Phraortes sp. Iriomote Island. Its description in RNAcentral is "tRNA-Gly". Lineage: Eukaryota; Metazoa; Arthropoda; Insecta; Phasmatodea; Lonchodidae. The record is from RNAcentral.